GGACUACCCGGGUUUCUAAUCCCGUUUGCUCCCCUGGCUUUCGUGUCUCAGUGUCAGCAAACCCCCAGCGAGUUGUUUUCACCAUUGGCGUUCCAAAUGAUAUCUACGCAUUUCACCGCUCCACCAUUUGUUCCACUCGCCCCUAGGUUGCUCAAGACCAGCAGUAUACCAAGCAGUUCCACGGUUAAGCCGUGGGAUUUCACAAGGUACUUACCAGUCCACCUACACACGCUUUAAGCCCAGUGAUUCCGCCUAACGCUUGGCACCUCUGUCUUACCGCGGCUGCUGGCAC
This 292-nucleotide ribosomal RNA is filed under the name uncultured bacterium. Its description in RNAcentral is "partial 16S ribosomal RNA". The record is from RNAcentral.